RNAcentral lists this ribosomal RNA (483 nucleotides) under uncultured bacterium. RNAcentral's name for it is "partial 16S ribosomal RNA". It matches the Rfam family "Bacterial small subunit ribosomal RNA", at positions 28 to 523 of the family's 1533-position model. The record is from RNAcentral.
GACGAACGCUGGCGGCGUGCUUAACACAUGCAAGUCGAACGAUGAAGCCGGAGCUUGCUCCGGUGGAUUAGUGGCGAACGGGUGAGUAACACGUGAGCAAUCUGCCCAUGACUCUGGAAUAACUGCGGGAAACUGUAGCUAAUACCGGAUACGACACCUUGGGGCAUCCCAGGGUGUGGAAAGAAUUUCGGUCAAGGAUGAGCUCGCGGCCUAUCAGCUUGUUGGUGAGGUAAUGGCUCACCAAGGCGUCGACGGGUAGCCGGCCUGAGAGGGUGACCGGCCACACUGGGACUGAGACACGGCCCAGACUCCUACGGGAGGCAGCAGUGGGGAAUAUUGCACAAUGGGCGGAAGCCUGAUGUAGCAACGCCGCGUGAGGGAUGACGGCCUUCGGGUUGUAAACCUCUUUUAGCAGGGAAGAAGCGAAAGUGACGGUACCUGCAGAAAAAGCACCGGCUAACUACGUGCCAGCAGCCGCGGUAA